Molecule: ribosomal RNA, 428 nt
Filed under: Fusobacteriota bacterium
Lineage: Bacteria; Fusobacteriati; Fusobacteriota
Description: Fusobacteria bacterium partial 16S ribosomal RNA
Rfam family: Bacterial small subunit ribosomal RNA
Source: RNAcentral
UGGGGAAUAUUGCGCAAUGGGCGAAAGCCUGACGCAGCGACGCCGCGUGAGGGAUGAAGGUUUUCGGAUCGUAAACCUCUGUCAGAAGGGAAGAAACCGCACUGUGCUAAUCAGCAGUGCCUUGACGGUACCUUCUAAGGAAGCACCGGCUAACUCCGUGCCAGCAGCCGCGGUAAUACGGAGGGUGCAAGCGUUAAUCGGAAUUACUGGGCGUAAAGCGCACGUAGGCUGCUUUGUAAGUCAGGGGUGAAAUCCCACGGCUCAACCGUGGAACUGCCUUUGAUACUGCUUAGCUUGAAUCCGGGGAGGGUGGCGGAAUUCCAGGUGUAGGAGUGAAAUCCGUAGAUAUCUGGAGGAACAUCAGUGGCGAAGGCGGCCACCUGGAACGGUAUUGACGCUGAGGUGCGAAAGCGUGGGGAGCAAACAGG